GAGUUUGAUCGUGGCUCAGGAUGAACGCUGGCGGCGUGCUUAACACAUGCAAGUCGAACGAAGCGCCUUAUUUGAUUUUCUUCGGAACUGAAGAUUUGGUGACUGAGUGGCGGACGGGUGAGUAACGCGUGGGUAACCUGCCCUGUACAGGGGGAUAACAAUCAGAAAUGACUGCUAAUACCGCAUAAGACCACAGCACCGCAUGGUGCAGGGGUAAAAACUCCGGUGGUACAGGAUGGACCCGCGUCUGAUUAGCUGGUUGGUGAGGUAACGGCUCACCAAGGCGACGAUCAGUAGCCGGCUUGAGAGAGUGAACGGCCACAUUGGGACUGAGACACGGCCCAAACUCCUACGGGAGGCAGCAGUGGGGAAUAUUGCACAAUGGGGGAAACCCUGAUGCAGCAACGCCGCGUGAGUGAAGAAGUAUUUCGGUAUGUAAAGCUCUAUCAGCAGGGAAGAAAGUGACGGUACCUGACUAAGAAGCCCCGGCUAACUACGUGGCAGCCGCCGCGGUAAC
RNAcentral lists this ribosomal RNA (517 nucleotides) under uncultured microorganism. RNAcentral's name for it is "bacterial SSU rRNA". It matches the Rfam family "Bacterial small subunit ribosomal RNA", at positions 9 to 524 of the family's 1533-position model. The record is from RNAcentral.